GGGGAUUUAGCUCAGUGGUAGAGUGCUUGCCUAGCAAGCACAAGACCCUGGGUUCGGUCCCCAGCUCUG
RNAcentral lists this transfer RNA (69 nucleotides) under Rattus norvegicus (Norway rat). It matches the Rfam family "tRNA". Rfam says of the family: Transfer RNA (tRNA) molecules are approximately 80 nucleotides in length. The record is from Rfam by way of RNAcentral. Lineage: Eukaryota; Metazoa; Chordata; Mammalia; Rodentia; Muridae.